GAUGAACGCUGGCGGCGUGCCUAACACAUGCAAGUCGUACGAGCUCGAUCUUCGGAACGGGUUAGUGGCGCACGGGUGAGUAACACGUAGGUGACCUACCCCAGAGUGGGGGAUAACUUCUCGAAAGAGAGGCUAAUACCGCAUACACUCGGUCAUUCAUUUGGCCGAGCAAAGCUCCGGCGCUUUGGGACGGGCCUGCGUCCGAUUAGCUAGUUGGUAGGGUAAUGGCUUACCAAGGCUUUGAUCGGUAGCUGGUCUGAGAGGACGAUCAGCCACACUGGCACUGACACACGGGCCAGACUCCUACGGGAGGCAGCAGUGAGGAAUAUUGGGCAAUGGGCGAAAGCCUGACCCAGCAACGCCGCGUGGAGGGAUGAAGGCC
RNAcentral lists this ribosomal RNA (382 nucleotides) under uncultured bacterium. RNAcentral's name for it is "bacterial SSU rRNA". It matches the Rfam family "Bacterial small subunit ribosomal RNA", at positions 28 to 416 of the family's 1533-position model. The record is from RNAcentral.